Molecule: ribosomal RNA, 989 nt
Filed under: uncultured bacterium
Lineage: Bacteria
Description: bacterial SSU rRNA
Rfam family: Bacterial small subunit ribosomal RNA
Source: RNAcentral
AGUCGAGCGAGAAGCGUUGGUUCCGUAAGGUUCCGACGCGGAAAGCGGCGAACGGGUGCGUAACACGUGAGAAACCUGCCCCCCAGACCGGGAUAGCCCAGGGAAACUUGGAUUAAUACCGGAUACUCUCUUUGGAUCGCAUGAUCCGUUGAGGAAAUGGUCCGCUGCUGGGGGAUGGUCUCGCGGCCUAUCAGGUAGUUGGUGAGGUAACGGCUCACCAAGCCGAAGACGGGUAGCUGGUCUGAGAGGACGAUCAGCCACACUGGAACUGAGACACGGUCCAGACUCCUACGGGAGGCAGCAGCAGGGAAUAUUGCACAAUGGGCGAAAGCCUGAUGCAGCGACACCGCGUGCGGGAUGAAGGCCUUCGGGUUGUAAACCGCUUUCAGGAGGGAAGAAAAUGACGGUACCUCCAGAAGAAGGCCCGGCCAACUACGUGCCAGCAGCCGCGGUAAUACGUAGGGGCCAAACGUUGUCCGGAAUUAUUGGGCGUAAAGGGCUCGUAGGCGGUUCAGCAAGUCGGUCGUGAAAGCCCGGGGCUCAACUCCGGGAUGCCGGUCGAAACUGUUGUGACUUGAGUUCGGUAGAGGUGAGUGGAAUUCUCAGUGUAGCGGUGGAAUGCGCAGAUAUUGAGAGGAACACCAUUAGCGAAGGCGGCUCACUGGGCCGAUACUGACGCUGAGGAGCGAAAGCGUGGGGAGCAAACAGGAUUAGAUACCCUGGUAGUCCACGCCGUAAACGAUGAACACUAGGUGUAGCGGAUUUAUUCAUGUCUGCUGUGCCGUAGCUAACGCAUUAAGUGUUCCGCCUGGGGAGUACGGCCGCAAGGCUAAAACUCAAAGGAAUUGACGGGGCCCCGCACAAGCGGCGGAGCAUGCGGCUUAAUUCGAUGCAACCCGAAGAACCUUACCUGGGUUUGACAUCAUGGGUCUAGCUGUGGAAACACAGUGUGCUUACGCGCCCAUGACAGGUGGUGCAUGGCUGUCGUC